AGCUCCAAUAGCGUAUAUUAAAGUUGUUGCAGUUAAAAAGCUCGUAGUUGGAUUUCGGGACAGAGUGCACGGUGGGCCGCAAGGUUUUACUGGACGUUCUGUUCUUCCUUCUGUAGACCUCCGUUGUUCUUAACUGAAUGGCGGGCCGGGAUGCAGAUCUUUUACUUUGAAUAAAUUAGAGUGUUCAAAGCAGGCAUUCGCUUGAAUACGUUAGCAUGGAAUAAUGGAAUAGGACUUUGGUUCUAUUUUGUUGGUUUCUAGAACCGAAGUAAUGAUUAAUAGGGAUAGUUGGGGGCAUUAAUAUUUAAUUGUCAGAGGUGAAAUUCUUGGAUUUAUGAAAGAUUAACUUCUGCGAAAGCAUUUGCCAAGGAUGUUUUCAUUAAUCAAGAACGAAAGUAGG
Molecule: ribosomal RNA, 400 nt
Filed under: phytoplankton environmental sample
Lineage: Eukaryota
Description: partial small subunit ribosomal RNA
Rfam family: Eukaryotic small subunit ribosomal RNA
Source: RNAcentral